This is a long non-coding RNA of Neofelis nebulosa (Clouded leopard), 566 nucleotides long. RefSeq lists it as uncharacterized. The record is from RefSeq and is a predicted model, not a curated record. Lineage: Eukaryota; Metazoa; Chordata; Mammalia; Carnivora; Felidae. The transcript has 2 exons.
CUGUGUCUCCCGUCUGACACUUCUGAAAUUGGAGGGAGGGAGGGGAGGCAUUGUGAGCCUGGGUAUUCAGAGGUAUAAUAGGCCAGCUGAGCUGAAGGGAGAAUGCUUAACAUUUGUUCCUUUAGCUGGGAUUCUAUCAGCCCCUGUUUUCAUGUUGAUUGUCCACGGCGCUCUUGGCGGGCAAUUUUCCCCUUCGAAAGGGUGUCCUUUGGCUGCUUCCUUUGAUACAUACGGUACAGCUUUCUCGCGCAGCGUCCUGAGCAAUUUUCAGACGGUUCGUGGAUUUCUUGCUAUUGCGGUUCAUGAUAGGUUAGCGGGACAUCGCCUAGAGGCAAAGUAAUGGCCCAGUCUGAAAAAAGAAUGGUAAUGAAGUCUACCAAACCCGAAGAGUGCAUUUGAGGACGAUUUUACCAGGUUUGCUCCCCUCUACGUGACAACAUGGUAUAUCACACAGAUGUUUGGGGAGAGAACGAAUGUAUCUUUGGGUGGGGGAAUAAUUUAUUAACCCCUCUACCUCCUUCUUGGCCUGCUCCAAGAAUAAUCCAGUAAAAAUCUACCUGCAAGAA